CACGUUUUUAAACAUCCUUUUGUGUGUAAGUGUGCAUUAGUACAUGCUAACGAUAUUCAAAAAGUACAUACCUCAAAGAAAACGAUGACGCGAGUUAUCGUCUCUAACGUUCGAGGACUACAAAAAACACUCGGAUUGUAGGCAACAGUUUACUUCCUGGGAUUGGUGACGUAGAUAAGACCAACAUUAUCAUAGUUCAGCCCUCUCUGCUUUGCUUGGGUACGCCCUCAAAGACGGGGGUGGGGAGCGCCGAGUCAGAAGAGAGCUAAAAUGGCGGAGGUUGUGAGUUCCUGCUUUGACCCUGUUUGCAAGCUCUUGUUUCAUUGUUUAAGCGAUUAAAUCUCUCGAGUAGACGCUGUCUCUUUAGAUGCAAGGGCAAAAUAGCACUUUAUGGACUUCCACAGAGGACAUCAUGUUUAAUACGGUUCCGGAAAAAUCCAGUCAGAAGUUGUUCACGGAGUUUUCACAAUAACUGCUUCUCAUGAACCGAAGCUGGAUUUGCGCGAAGUCUCCUCUUGAAAGUUGGAUUACUGUGCACUUCUGGAUCACAGGCUAUUCACAGCUGGACACAUCCUUCUACACUGUAUGCAAACAUGCAACAUCAUAACACACAGUACAAGGAGUCAGACUGGCAUAUGAGGAGCAAAGGAACCCAGGCAGUAGCAUCGUUUCACAAUGUUUCCAUCACCAUCAUCAGUGGAUGCCUUUGCUGUCCGUAGCCUGAGAUUUCAGAUUUGCAGCAAAAAAAAAAUUAUUUUCUCAUUUAUUGGAAUGCUGUGCAGGUAUUUGUACCUUGCAGCCAUCCAUUACAAUGUCACCAAGCCGUAACAAAAGCAGGAGAGGGAAAGUACAAGGCUGUGUUCCCAAAACACACAAGUGACAUACCUUAUGUGGAGGAUGUGAUCAGGCUUGUGUUUGAUGAGGUAUUUGAAGAUAAGCUGAAGGAAGCCCUGAUUCCAAUGGACCUGGCAUCACAGUUUGAGAGACCUUCAAAGGAGGACGUGAUUGCAUGCCAUCUUCAGUGCA
This is a non-coding RNA of Paramisgurnus dabryanus, 1026 nucleotides long. Lineage: Eukaryota; Metazoa; Chordata; Actinopteri; Cypriniformes; Cobitidae. The record is from RefSeq and is a predicted model, not a curated record.